GUUGCCGUCUUUCCAUGAUGUUUGGCAGCACGGGUUUCGCCAUAAAACCGCCCAAGCCUUCCCGUCCUCUGAGACUGCUCAGACCCUGACAUCGCCAUUCCCGCCCUUCUCUCCUCCUUGCCAAUAAAGCAUCCAAAAGCGGAUAAUGGCGUGAAAUUGUACUCCAUUAACCGUUCCGCCCCGCCCCCCGGGGCUACAUGGCUAUAAAACCCUAGCAACCGCUUCCCUCUCUCCAUGCUCCUGCUCCUCCCCCACCACUCCAUUCUUGCCAAAAGCCCUAAAAUCUCGACCCUCCACCUCUACGUUCUUGCCAAAAGCCCUAAAAUCUCGACUCUCCCCUUCCUCGCCGCUCGCUCUCGCGCUCGCCUACUUCGCUUCGCUCUUUCCAAUGGCGCCGCCGCCCAAGGUGGUCGCGGAGUACGCGAAGUCCGGUCGCUCGUCUUGCAAGAACUGCGGGAAGGCCAUCGCCGCGGGUUCUCUGAGGGUGGGCUCGUCGAGUAAAGGCCCUCGGGAAUCUGACCUCAUGAAAUGGUAUCAUUUGGAUUGCUUUCCUUUGCAGGAUCAUCCACUCGCUGUCGCAGAGGAGAUACUCGGGUUUUCUUCUUUGAAGAGUUUUGAUCUGGAUGCAUUAAGGAAGCUAGAGGCUACAGCAUCAUCCGAACAAACCGUUAAUGAGCUUGGUAAAACAGAUUGGGAUGCAACUGAAGAGUUAGAGGAAAAGGGUUCAAAGAAACGAAAGCUCUCUAGCACAGAUGAAGCUGGGAAUGAAGAGUUCACUAAAAGGAAUUCUCCAGUUGUUGCCCAUAAAGUAGUUGCGGAGUAUGCCAAAUCCAACCGAUCUUCUUGCAAGAACUGCAGGAAUGUCAUAGCUGCAGGUUCUCUGAGGCUGGGCUCUUCAAGCAAAGACCCUCGAGGCUUUGACCUUGUGAAAUGGUAUCACCUGGACUGCUUUCCAUCUCAGUCCCACCUGCUCAUUGCUGUGGAGGAGAUAACUGGGUUUUCUUCUUUAAAGAAUUCCGACCAAGAUGCAUUAAGGAAGCUAGAGGCUGCUGCAUCAUCCAGCCAGAUUGCCAUGGAGGUUAGUAAAAGAGAUGGCAGUGCAAUCGAAGAGUUCGAGGAAAAGGAUUCGAAGAAACCAAAGUUGCUUGUAGAUGGCAAAAAGAAUGACUUCAAGAUGGCCUUUUCUGCGUCUGAUAUCAAAGAUCGGUACAAGGAUGCCACCCUUCCACCAAAUUGGAAGGCCUUCAAGACACUCAUUUUUCGUGAGCAGGAAGAGGGUCUCUGUGAUUCUGAAAAAAUUGCUGCGUUUGAUUUUGAUGGAUGUCUCGCGAAUACAUCUGUGAAAAGAAUUGGUCCAGAUGCUUGGUCUCUGAUGUAUCCAUCAGUUCCUGAGAAGCUGCAGGGACUAUAUAACAGUGGCUACAAGCUGGUUAUCUUCACCAAUGAAUCAAACAUUGAGCGCUGGAAGAACAAACGACAACGAGCUGUGGAUUCCAAAAUAGGGAGACUUGACAACUUUAUCAAGCACGUUAAAGUCCCAAUUCAGGUUUUUAUAGCUUGCGGGCUAGGAACAGGCAAGGAUCAAAGUGAAGAUCCCUUUCGCAAACCAAAACCUGGAAUGUGGAGGCUAAUGGAAGAACACUUCAAUUCUGGCAUCGCAGUUGCCAUGGAUCAUUCCUUCUAUGUUGGUGAUGCAGCUGGGAGAGUCAAUGAUCACAGUGAUGCUGAUAUUAAGUUUGCUGAGUUCCAAGUUCAAUGACUUGGUAUUCAGGAGGAUGUUGUCAAAUUGCAGUCUAUCAGCAUCCCUGACACAUAACAGUUGGAAUUCCUUUUUGAUGAUGAUGGCCUGUUGCUCCUGCUGUGUAUGUCAAGAUGCAACAUUGAGUUAUCGAAAUCCCUGCACCCCUGAUUGUUUGGCAGUUGGGUUGAAAUUCCAUGUUCCCGAGGAGUUCUUUUGCACUUGAUGCUCGCCAUCCCGUGCCUCUCGCUUUCAUUGGCUUUCAUUUUGGGUCUCCAUGUUCUGAGCAACUUUUUGAGACUUGGUGAAAAAAGUAGUUUAGCUUAACUGGCGCAACGUUUUGAGCUGAUCAGCUUACUCAUCUCCAUAGGCUGGUGCUGUUUUUUUUUGAUAAAAUAGGCUGGUGCUGUUCAUCUGCAUCAUCUCAUCUCAGCAAGCUUGCCUGUGAUUUGUAAAAUGAUGGUUAAAGUAACGAGGAAGGAACAAAAACUAUAGUUAUGUGAUAAAUGUUUCUUAUUUUGUUCAGAAAAAUUGUUGGAUCCAUGUUACUCAGAACUUUCAAUAGAAUCUUUUGCCUAUGGAUAAA
This is a non-coding RNA of Elaeis guineensis (African oil palm), 2324 nucleotides long. The record is from RefSeq and is a predicted model, not a curated record. NCBI's taxonomy places the organism in Eukaryota, Viridiplantae, Streptophyta, Magnoliopsida, Arecales, Arecaceae.